AGGAUAAUAGUUCAAACAGAACAUUUAAUUUGCAUUUAAAAAGUAUAAACAACUUUAUUUAUCUUA
RNAcentral lists this transfer RNA (66 nucleotides) under Scolytinae sp. BMNH 1274287. Its description in RNAcentral is "tRNA-Ala". The record is from RNAcentral. Lineage: Eukaryota; Metazoa; Arthropoda; Insecta; Coleoptera; Curculionidae.